AUAAGCAAUUAUACAGCGAAACUGCGAAUGGCUCAUUAUAUAAGUUAUCGUUUAUUUGAUAGUACCUUACUACUUGGAUAACCGUGGUAAUUCUAGAGCUAAUACAUGCUAAAAAUCCCGACUUCGGAAGGGAUGUAUUUAUUAGAUUAAAAACCAAUGCCCUCCGGGGCUCCUUGGUGAUUCAUGAUAACUCCUCGAAUCGCACGGCCUUGCGCCGGCGAUGGUUCAUUCAAAUUUCUUCCCUAUCAACUUUCGAUGUUUGGGUAUUGGCCAAACAUGGUUGCAACGGGUAACGGAGGGUUAGGGCUCGACCCCGGAGAAGGAGCCUGAGAAACGGCUACUACAUCCAAGGAAGGCAGCAGGCGCGCAAAUUACCCAAUGCCAAAUCGGCGAGGUAGUGACAAUAAAUACUGAUACAGGGCUCUUUUGGGUCUUGUAAUUGGAAUGAGUACAAUUUAAAUCCCUUAACGAGGAACAAUUGGAGGGCAAGUCUGGUGCCAGCAGCCGCGGUAAUUCCAGCU
RNAcentral lists this ribosomal RNA (521 nucleotides) under Nectria pulcherrima. RNAcentral describes it as "SSU rRNA". It matches the Rfam family "Eukaryotic small subunit ribosomal RNA", at positions 65 to 590 of the family's 1831-position model. The record is from RNAcentral. Lineage: Eukaryota; Fungi; Ascomycota; Sordariomycetes; Hypocreales; Nectriaceae.